AUUGAACGCUGGCGGCAUGCUUUACACAUGCAAGUCGAGCGGUAACAGGUUAAGCUGACGAGUGGCGAACGGGUGAGUAAUGCAUCGGAACGUGCCCGGUCGUGGGGGAUAACGCAGCGAAAGCUGCGCUAAUACCGCAUACGCUCUGAGGAUGAAAGCGGGGGACCGUAAGGCCUCGCGCUAUCGGACCGGCCGAUGUCAGAUUAGGUAGUUGGUGGGGUAAAGGCUCACCAAGCCAACGAUCUGUAGCUGGUCUGAGCGGACGACCAGUCACACUGGGACUGAGACACGGCCCAGACUCCUACGGGAGGCAGCAGUGGGGAAUUUUGGACAAUGGGCGAAAGCCUGAUCCAGCAAUGCCGCGUGCAGGAAGAAGGCCUUCGGGUUGUAAACUGCUUUUGUACGGAGCGAAAAGGUCUCCUCUAAUACAGGGGGCUCAUGACGGUACCGUAAGAAUAAGCACCGGCUAACUACGUGCCAGCCGCCGCGGUAA
This 493-nucleotide ribosomal RNA is filed under the name uncultured bacterium. Its description in RNAcentral is "partial 16S ribosomal RNA". It matches the Rfam family "Bacterial small subunit ribosomal RNA", at positions 30 to 523 of the family's 1533-position model. The record is from RNAcentral.